RNAcentral lists this ribosomal RNA (1569 nucleotides) under Triticum aestivum (bread wheat). RNAcentral describes it as "partial small subunit ribosomal RNA". The record is from RNAcentral. Lineage: Eukaryota; Viridiplantae; Streptophyta; Magnoliopsida; Poales; Poaceae.
AUGUCACUCAAGGAUAAAGAGGAACUUCACAACAAAUCAAGUGGUGCUUACAAAGCCUCAUGUGAAGCCCCCAAAUCAUCGAGUGAGAAACAAACCUUCAAUGAAGAAUUGAGCUUAAUGGUGAAGAACUUCAACAAGUUCUACAAGAGUAGAAGCAAAGAGAGAAGCUCCAAGUCAAGGUCCUACGAUGACAAAAGAUCUUCUAGUCGAGAGAGAAAUUGCUACAAUUGUGGAAGGCCCGGACACUAUUCCAAUGAGUGUACGGCCCCCUACAAGAGAAGAGAAGAUUCUCCCAAGAGAAGAAGUAGAAGAGAAGAAUCACCAUCUAGAGAAAGAAGGAGUAGAGAUGAUCGUUAUGAACGAAGACCCUCACGGAGAAGCAAGGAUUCGGAAAGAAAGGACAAGUCAUCAAGGAGCUACACAAAACGAAGACACCAAGCUCAUGUUGGUGAAUGGGUAUCCAGCUCCGACUCCGACAACCACUCCGAGAGAAGCUAUCACUCCGACUCCGAAUAUACUCAAGAUGAAGGUGUGGCCGGUCUAGCACUUGUGACAACCAACUCCUACGACAUAUUUGACUCACCAAAUGAAGGAGUUGGAACAUGCUUCAUGGCUAAAGGCCCAAAGGUAUCACACCCCGAGUAUGUUGAUUUCAAUAGUGAUGAAGAUGACUUGUUAGGUGAUGAUGAUUUACUUGUUGACAACUCUAGUGAUGAAUACUAUGAUGAAACGUCAAUUAAUCAUGCUAAUCAAGAUAAAACGAAUGACAAUGAUAAGGAGAAGAAUGAGUCUCUAACUAAAGAACUAAACACUCUUAAGUUAGCUCAUGAAACUAUCUUAGGAGAUCAUCGAGAACUUUUAAGGGCUCAUGAGAAAUUACGCUUUGAAAAGCUCAACCUUGAGCAAGAGCAUGAGUUCUUAAAAGCAAUCAAUGAUGAUCUUCGCAAGAAAAGUUCUUCUUACAUUGCCAAGCGUUUACUCUUAUCCACUUACAUGCCUCAAGUCAAGUCUAGUAACAAGAACAAGAAAGAUUCUUCCUCUAGUAGUAACAAUAAUCAUGCUAAAUCCAAUAUUGUUGCUUCUAGUAGUUCUCUUGAUUCCACUAAUGAUUCUCUUAGCCAAGUUACACUUGAGCAAGAAAAUAGCUUAUUGAAGGGAAUUAUAGAGAAAGGUGUUUACAAGAGCCUUGCCGGAAGUAAGCAAUUCGAGAAAAUUGUACGCAUGCAAGGAAGGCACCAGAAGAAUCAAGGUGUUGGUUUUGAACGAAAGUUCAAUGCCAAUGGAGUUGAGUGGGAAGAAGAUCAAUACCCCAAGACGAAGUUUGUUCCUCAACAAGAGAAGUAUGAUCCUACUUCUCUCAAAGGGACACAAGCUCAAGAUGAUCUUCCACCACAAGACCACAAGCAAAAAGGCAAGGACAAGCUUCAAGAGGAAAUUGAUGCAUUUGAAGAAGCUCCUAAGGCCUUGGUCAAGUGGGUUCCCAAGACUACUUCAAGUUCGACUUCAUCAAGUACAACUACAACACCGAGGAUUCCCAUCAAGAUGGUGUGGAUCCCGAAGAAGAACUAG